This is a long non-coding RNA of Passer domesticus (house sparrow), 1172 nucleotides long. RefSeq lists it as uncharacterized. The transcript is spliced from 3 exons. The record is from RefSeq and is a predicted model, not a curated record. NCBI's taxonomy places the organism in Eukaryota, Metazoa, Chordata, Aves, Passeriformes, Passeridae.
UGUCUAGAACCUGUUCAGGUGAAGUGAUGAAUCUGUGAAAGCUGAACCCAGGUAUUUAAUGAAAAGCUAAAGCUUCUCAUUUAUCCUCUCAUUUAUUCUUAGGUCAGCUACACUCUUAAUCACUGUUUAAAUUGGUUACAGGUGCAAAAAUUAGCAGUGUCUGUAAAAUAUUGGAACUUCUAUUAGACAUUGAUUUAUGUCCCUGUAUUUAGGGGUCUCUGGUCAUGGAACUGUAGAGCAUUUGAAGUAUUUUUUAAAAAAAUGUAUUUUGUGGCUAGAAUGGUGAGCAACAGUGUAGCUCCUUCACCUGGUACACCUGUGUGAUAAUCACAGGAAGACCCCAUGAUAAAUAAAAAGGCAGUUCUUCACCAAGAUCUGAUCAGAAGAGUUUGAAAUCAGCUGGGUCAGGAGAAGAUACUUUGGAGGAGAAGAAAGGUUGGGGUGUAGAGUCCCCUGCUGAAGCUGAACCUCACAACUCAACUGGGCUCCAUCUGGCUUGAAUUAAACAAGGAAUGAUCAAAGUCUACAAAUCUCCCUGAUCUCUAUCAGCAUGGAAAACUAAAGCUAAAUGUUGAUGUCAACCCAAAACCCUGAGAGCUUCAGGGCUGUCAGGAGCACUCUGUGCCUGCGUUGCUUUGGUGGCAGGGCUGGAUGGCUCCCCAAGCCCCACCUCUCUGCCAGCCAAGCUGUAGAUGAGAGGAAGAAUGAACAAGAUGGUUGAGUUAAAUAUAGCACCGGGGUUGGAGCAUAACAGACUGUCCAGGGCUCCACUCAUAAAAGAAGAAAGAAAUUACUUCAGAGAGGAUUAAGCACUCUCUUGCUAUAGAAGUUGUACAUGAUGUCAAAGAGUGGAGAGCACUGAACAGCAUGCUAGGAAAAGGAAAAUCCUGGGAUGCUGACCCAGAACAUUAACACGCUGCUCAGUGGUUAGCUCAAAAUGGAAGAGGAGUUUCACAGCUCUUUUCCCUGAACUGGUGACAGCUGUGACAAAGCCAUACCAUGGAGCUACAGCUCCAGCCUCACCCUCAGUGUGUGUGUGUGCCUGUGGGUAAGGAAAAGUCGUGAUUUUGUACAGCCCCAGUGGUGUCCCAGAGUGAGCGAGCUGCAGGCUGGACACACUGAGGACUGCACUGGAGCAAGAAACUUGGCCAGAUCCCAUCCCACCCUGUGAA